This is a long non-coding RNA of Eriocheir sinensis (Chinese mitten crab), 3986 nucleotides long. RefSeq lists it as uncharacterized. The record is from RefSeq and is a predicted model, not a curated record. The transcript is spliced from 4 exons. Lineage: Eukaryota; Metazoa; Arthropoda; Malacostraca; Decapoda; Varunidae.
AAUGUGAUAACGUGUGUGUGUGUGUGUGUGUGUGUGUGUGUGUGUGUGAGAGAGAGAGAGAGAGAGAGAGAGAGAGAGAGAGAGAGAGAGAGAGAGAGAGAGAGAGAGAGAGAGAGAGAGAACGUAUGAAUAACCAAAAUAUGUACUCCAGUAAUGGUAAUAGUAAUAAUAACAACAAAAAUAACACCUAACACAGUAGUUCCCACCUGAGACGAUUGCACUGUUUAGUUAGCUAAUUACAUAAGGCAUUCCACACACUUGUAUCUACCUAAUUAUCGUGUUAGUAAUAAUAUAACUAUGUAACUAUUUAUACCAGAGAGAGAGAGAGAGAGAGAGAGAGAGAGAGAGAGAGAGAGAGAGAGAGAGAGAGAGGAUCGAAUCAUGUAAUAGAUGUAAUCCAGAUAAUUUAGUGAGAGAUCAUAUUUUCGUAACUGCGGACAGACCCUUAUCAUCAACAACAACAACAACAACUAGUUUGGAAGGACAAGGUGUUUAGUACAACACUCAGGCAGCCCGCCGUCCCGUCGCCCCUCACAACACCUUCGCGCCUCCGCCGUGUCGUGGCAGCGUAAAGUUGACAGUUUCGUCGUCAAUUUUUCGCCAUUUACAAUCACUUGUAACGCGUCGGCCUGUUCACAGCCGGCGUUUUGGUUUCUAUUAACACCAGAAUUUUUAUUUUAUUUUAAUCCUUGGGCAGGGGGUGACUUAGCUAUUUUUCAGAGCUAAUUUGUACAGAGAAUUUGACACUGAUUGCCAUGGCAAUGUAAGAUGAUAAUGAAGUCAUGCCCAUAUAACAUGAUUUGUAUAUAGUUGGGCAUUAUGUAUUUUUUUAUGAAAAGAUAAACCCCUCAUUACCUCAAUGAGUAUUCCUCAAGUAAGUAUAAACAGCACAGCAGCGGACCUGCGAUAUAAUCGUCAACUGAGACUUGAAAAACGCCACACAGGCCAGGUGUGACAUCCGGGCUGCCACAGUUACCUUCCCCAGGUUUCCACAGGUACCCGUUUGACGACCAGCCCCAAAGGGAACAUAAACAGCUGGGUUGGCUGCCCGCUGGCCCAAGUCGGGAUUCGAACCCCGCUGUUUCGUAGCAUGUCGUGCUAACCACUACACCGAGGAGGCGCAUUCAUCUGUGGAUGAAAAUCUGCUUGGACGACGUGAUAUAACUUGUAGGAACAACGCAGCUGGUGAUGCUGACGUGUUGUGUGUGUUGUUGUUGUCGUGGUCGUCAGUCGUUGGGGCGGAACACAAUGAAAAGGUUAUUAUAUUUUCAGACAGACGAAAAGAAAAAGUCAAUUUAUAAGAAUCUUUGUUAAGAUAGACGAAAAGACAAAAAGGUAUAUUUAUAAUAUAUUGUUAAGUGACAAGAGUAAAAAAAGUUUAACAGUUUAUAUACAUUAAUGAUGUGUUGAUAGAUGAAAAUAAUAAUUUUAUAAGAAUAUUUAUGUUGAGACAGACCAAGAGAUAGAAAAAGUUUGUUUAAUAGAAUCCAAAAAUGCAUUAACAUAGACCAGUACAAAAGAAAUGUUUAUAAGAAUUAUUUAUGUGAACACAAAAAGAAUAAGGAACAGUAUCAGAGAAAUUAAUAUAACAUCGUCAUUAGAGUGCGUUAAAUUAAAAACUGUCAUCAUGAAGCAAAAUAAUGAAAAAUAUAACAAUAUUAUUAAUAAUAAUGAUCAUUAGAAUAAUGGUAAUAAUAAUAACCACAUAACAAUUACAUGCAUUUUUAUCAAGCGUAAUAUUUUUAAUCUAUGAAAUUAUUAUCCUCGUUAUAAUUACUCUUUUAAUGCCGUCCACUAAGCCAGCACCGUAGUCUAAAUACUGACAUAAUAAUAAUAAUAAUAAUAAUAAUAAUAAUAAUAAUAAUAAUAAUAAUAAUAAUAAUAAUAAUAAUAAUAAUAGAAAAGACACCGAGGGCAUUAUUUCACUUUUUUUUCGUACGUGUGUGUGUGUGUGUGUGUGUGUGUGUGUGUGUGUGUGUGUGUGUGUGUGUGUACCAAGGUCUUAGGUAUACAGGAUGAAGAUUUACAAUGAAAAAACAUUAUUAUGAUUAACGACUAUGAAGAGUAAUGAUAACUGUGAUUUGCCCUCCCUCUCCCUUCCCGUUCCUUCCCCUCCCUUUCCCUCCCUUGCCUUCUUGUCCAUUUUCCUCCCAUCCCCCUUCCUAUUCCAUCCCAUUCCCUUCCUUUCCUACCCUUUUAUUCCCUUCAUUUCCUUUCCCCCCCCAUCCCUUCCCUUUUCAACACUAUUUUUAUUCCCUCCCUUCAUUUCCCUUUGUUUCCCAUCCCAUCCCUUCCUAUUCCAUCCAAUCCCUUCCCCUUCCUACCCUUCCUUUCCCUUUCCUUUACUUCCCAUCCCCUCUCCCCCCUUGCCUCCCCUCCUCCUCCUCAUAAUACCUCCUUACCUGUAAAUUAGAACACCUGUAUACCUGAGUAAGGCCUUUGAGUUUACUACACGCCACCAUAUGUAGUAGUAGUAGUAGCAGUAGUAGUAGUAGUAGUAGUAGUAGUAGUAGUAGUAGUAGUAGUAGUAGUAGUAAAAGUAGUUGUAUUUUAAGAAAGCACUACACUGUAUCUAUAACUUAUAAUGUAGUAAAGAUUUUGUUUUUUCACUAACCAUUGUCUUUAUUAACCCUUUUAGAGUAAGUUUUUUUUCCUCCUGUCAUCUCUAUCUAUCUAUCUACAUGUCUACCUAUCUAUUCAUUUAUGUAUCUAUGUCUGUCUGGCUGUCUCAGAAUAGGUCGUAAUUUAUUUUAAUACCCGCAAGAAACACUUUAUUGUAUAUGAGAAAAAAAAAUCUUAAGAACUAUUUAACAAACCCCAAAGCACCUGACUGUUUUCUUCCGCUGACUGUUUCGUUCAUUGUUUCAUUAGUUCAAUUAGUCCGUCAAUUUCUCCCUUCUGCUUUUCUUUCUCUUCAAUUAGUAUAUGUGUUUUGUAUCGCUGAGAGUUACAUAUCAAGCCAUAUAAAGAAAAUAACAUAGCCUUAUUAUUCAUACUUCUUUAUAGAGACUGUAAAGCGGUUCGUUCUUUGCUUCAUCCAUUCGUUUCACUAUCUCACUCACUCACUCGUUGACUCGCAAUAAUAAUUUCCCUAUCUCAACUUUCUUUAUAUUAACUAACUGUAUCGUUUCUUACUAUAGGCGCAAACUAGACUGACUCACCCACAACAACUAGUAAUUCUCAAGUAUUUAGCGAAGUUCACGUGAAAAAAGGUAAGUAAAAAGUAAAAGACAAAAACAGUUGCGGGAUCUGGCAACUGUUUACGUAGAGGACGACGAGAGAUGCCGACACUCAAUAGCCGCCGAGACUUCAUGGAGGAAGGACGUUCUGCUCCUGCGUCUCGUUUGGCCGUAUCUCCCUUUUCUUCAGUGUGUUCUGGGGCUGGUUAGGCCAUACUUUGUGCUUCCCUUCGUCCGUGUCCAGUUGUGAUGGGAACCCCGCUGCUCCAUUGAGAGACCAAGUGAGGUGAGUGGCUGACUGGUGCAGUGACUGGCCUGGCAUCAGGGACUGCCUUUGCAUCUGGAGUGGACGUGGAGUUCCGUAGUUGCUCAGCGUUGAGAAUCUCCUCGUCAUCUGCGCUGCACAUUGGAAGCCAGCUUGAUCUCCGGAGCCUCUUGGAAGUAUCUAGGCAGGUGGUGGCUGAACGGACAGCGAGACGGCCCCGCGUUCAGGAGGACGCGAGUUCAAUCCCCGACCGGUGCCACCAAGCUGGGAUUUUUCAGCCGCCGCCGAGUGGCUUAAGACCACCUAACAUCCCGGACCCUAGAAUUAAAGAUGAGCUCCGGGAGGGCAAGAUGGCGCCACUAUAAACACUCACCUGCGCCGACCAUCAGGCCCCACCGGGAAGAAGCCUACCGGCACAAUAGGCAAAGACUUAAAGAAAAAAAAAAAUUGUAGAGAAUACCUGCCAGAAAGUUUCGGUAUUCUUUUCUUGUGCAAAACUUAAUAAAAGUCCUGGAUUUGCAUUCCAUUUUUUGAGUUUUGUU